Molecule: long non-coding RNA, 1003 nt
Organism: Pseudophryne corroboree (corroboree frog)
Lineage: Eukaryota; Metazoa; Chordata; Amphibia; Anura; Myobatrachidae
Exons: 3
Source: RefSeq, a predicted model, not a curated record
ACAAGUUGUCCCAGCCACCCCCUGCUGCCUUAGAUCACCGCAGCAGUGCACUAUUGCACUGCUGAGCUUGUACAUGAAUGACAGUUGGAGGUCCGGAGGCGGAGCUACACGGCACUGUACUCAGUGCCAGGCCAGCCAGCAGCACCAUCAAAGAGAUGAGGGGAGAAGAGCAGCAGCACACAGCAAAGCCUAAAUAGUGAUGGGGGUUAUGGCUGCUACUCUUGGCUUCUGACUCCAUUGUCCGCCCCUGAUUCCCCUGCUGAACACAAUUACAAUAAUGCACAUAAGUCUACGCGGAAUGUGAUAGAACGAUGUUUUGGUGUACUGAAAUCAAGGUUUCGGUGUCUGGAUAAGUCUGCCGGGCUUUUGUUGUAUAGUCCCUUAAAAGUGACUAUACAACAAAAGCUGCUGUUUUCUUCAUAACAUGUGUUUGCAGCAACAUCUGCCACAUGAUGAUGAUGAUGAUGAUGAUGAUGAUGAAGAAAACAGUCAGCAAGCAGAGGAGUUAGAAACAUCUGGCGACACUGAGUACAGAUAUAGGGAGACAGACAGCUGAGGGGAAUGUGGUCACGGUGAUUGAGUACUCUCCAAAAUGUGUUCUGGUGGCUGAGGCAACACAGUUGAAAUACGACGUGGGGGUGUGCUUAAUGCUGGUGUUGGUGCGACAUCAGGAUGACGUCUCUUGCUAGGCCUGCUCGUGUGGCUGCCAGACCCCUGUGCAGGACGUCUUUGUGGACUGUGAUGCGAUGUUGAAGUUCCUAUGGAUUAAUGCAAACAUUAGAUUUUUUUGCUUUUUUGUGGUGGCCAUAUUAACAGGUGUCAUUUUUGCGUUACCUGUAUCGCCAGCAUCCACAGCUCUUGACAGUGUUGCUUGUGUUCUGGAAGCGGUGGCUUGCUUUCGUACUGUAAAAAUGAUACAGUGGUGUUUAUGACCUUUAAUUACAGUGUGUACUUUUGUAAGCAGCAACAUUUAGUGAUGUGGACAUAUGAUUACCAUUAUGGG